GACGAACGCUGGCGGCGUGCCUAAUACAUGCAAGUAGAACGCACAGUUUAUACCGUAGCUUGCUACACCAUACACUGUGAGUUGCGAACGGGUGAGUAACGCGUAGGUAACCUGCCUGGUAGCGGGGGAUAACUAUUGGAAACGAUAGCUAAUACCGCAUAAUAUUGAUUAUUGCAUGAUAAUUGAUUGAAAGAUGCUAUUGCAUCACUACCAGAUGGACCUGCGUUGUAUUAGCUAGUAGGUGAGGUAACGGCUCACCUAGGCGACGAUACAUAGCCGACCUGAGAGGGUGAUCGGCCACACUGGGACUGAGACACGACCCAGACUCCUACGGGAGGCAGCAGUAGGGAAUCUUCGGCAAUGGACGAAAGUCUGACCGAGCAACGCCGCGUGAGUGAAGAAGGUUUUCGGAUCGUAAAGCUCUGUUGUAAGAGAAGAACGGGUGUGAGAGUGGAAAGUUCACACUGUGACGGUAUCUUACCAGAAAGGGACGGCUAACUACGUG
RNAcentral lists this ribosomal RNA (505 nucleotides) under uncultured bacterium. RNAcentral describes it as "partial 16S ribosomal RNA". It matches the Rfam family "Bacterial small subunit ribosomal RNA", at positions 28 to 507 of the family's 1533-position model. The record is from RNAcentral.